Molecule: transfer RNA, 72 nt
Organism: Camelus ferus (Wild Bactrian camel)
Lineage: Eukaryota; Metazoa; Chordata; Mammalia; Artiodactyla; Camelidae
Rfam family: tRNA
About the family: Transfer RNA (tRNA) molecules are approximately 80 nucleotides in length. Their secondary structure includes four short double-helical elements and three loops (D, anti-codon, and T loops).
Source: Rfam
GUAUAUAUAUCUCAGUGGUAGAGCACCUGCUUAGCAUGCACAAGGUCCUGGGUUCAAUCCCCAGUACCUCCA